GGCCUUCUGGACAGUACUGACGCUGAGAUGCGAAAGCGUGGGGAGCAAACAGGAUUAGAUACCUGGUAGUCCACGCUGUAAACGAUGUCGAUUUGGAGUUUGUUGCCUAGAGUGAUGGGCUCCGAAGCUAACGCGAUAAAUCGACCGCUGGGGAGUACGGCCGCAAGGUUAAAACUCAAAUGAAUUGACGGGGGCCCGCACAAGCGGUGGAGCAUGUGGUUUAAUUCGAUGCAACGCGAAGAACCUUACCUGGUCUUGACAUCCAUAGAAUUCUGCAGAGAUGUGGGAGUGCCUUCGGGAACUAUGAGACAGGUGCUGCAUGGCUGUCGUCAGCUCGUGUUGUGAAAUGUUGGGUUAAGUCCCGCAACGAGCGCAACCCUUAUUCUUUGUUGCCAGCGAUUUGGUCGGGAACUCAAAGGAGACUGCCGUUGAUAAAGCGGAGGAAGGUGGGGACGACGUCAAGUCAUCAUGGCCCUUACGACCAGGGCUACACACGUGCUACAAUGGCGUAUACAAAGGGAAGCGAAGGUGCGAGCUGGAGCGGAUCUCAUAAAGUACGUCUAAGUUCGGAUUGGAGUCUGCAACUCGACUCCAUGAAGUCGGAAUCGCUAGUAAUCGUAGAUCAGAAUGCUACGGUGAAUACGUUCCCGGGCCUUGUACACACCGCCCGUCACACCAUGGGAGUGGGUUGCACCAGAAGUAGAUAGCUUAACCGCGAGGGGGGCGUUUACCACGGUGUGAUUCAUGACUGGGGUGAAGUCGUAACAAGGUAACCA
This 776-nucleotide ribosomal RNA is filed under the name uncultured Enterobacteriaceae bacterium. RNAcentral's name for it is "bacterial SSU rRNA". It matches the Rfam family "Bacterial small subunit ribosomal RNA", at positions 723 to 1502 of the family's 1533-position model. The record is from RNAcentral. Lineage: Bacteria; Pseudomonadati; Pseudomonadota; Gammaproteobacteria; Enterobacterales; Enterobacteriaceae.